GUCAGAACAACUUAACUGAAUUGAAAUCUCGUGGCAGAGUUCUUAAUGAAGUGUAUAAAAAGCUAUUUAGAGAAAUAGAUGAUAAAGCAAGAAGUGGUGCAGAUGAAACACUAAUAAUGAAAGAUCGAGUUCAGCUUCUGGAGAGAUAUGGCAAAGACCUUAAAGAACAGAACAGGUUACUUUUAUGGACACUGGAACAGACUCAGCAAGAAAUGAUGGAGAGCAAG
Saccostrea cuccullata (small rock oyster) is the source of this 227-nucleotide long non-coding RNA. RefSeq lists it as uncharacterized. The transcript is spliced from 2 exons. Lineage: Eukaryota; Metazoa; Mollusca; Bivalvia; Ostreida; Ostreidae. The record is from RefSeq and is a predicted model, not a curated record.